This 536-nucleotide ribosomal RNA is filed under the name uncultured bacterium. RNAcentral describes it as "bacterial SSU rRNA". It matches the Rfam family "Bacterial small subunit ribosomal RNA", at positions 777 to 1315 of the family's 1533-position model. The record is from RNAcentral.
AAUAGAUACCCAGGUAGUCCACGCCGUAAACGAUGGAUACUAGCUGUUCGUCCGCCUCGGCGGAUGAGUGGCUAAGCGAAAGUGAUAAGUAUCCCACCUGGGGAGUACGAACGCAAGUUUGAAACUCAAAGGAAUUGACGGGGGCCCGCACAAGCGGUGGAGCAUGUGGUUUAAUUCGAUGAUACGCGAGGAACCUUACCAAGGCUUAAAUGUAGAUUGACAGGACAGGAAACAGUUUUUUCUUCGGACAAUUUACAAGGUGCUGCAUGGUUGUCGUCAGCUCGUGCCGUGAGGUGUCAGGUUAAGUCCUAUAACGAGCGCAACCCCUGUUGUUAGUUGCCGGCGAGUCAAGUCGGGAACUCUAACAAGACUGCCAGUGUAAACUGUGAGGAAGGUGGGGAUGACGUCAAAUCAUCAGGCCCUUACGCCUUGGGCUACACACGUGCUACAAUGGCCGGUACAGAGAGCAGCCACCGCGCGAGCAGGAGCGAAUCUAUAAAAACCGGUCACAGUUCGGAUCGGAGUCUGCAACUCGA